UAAUUUAAAGUCUAACCUGCCCAAUGAUUAUUUGAAUGGCUGCGGUAUUUUGACCGUACUAAGGUAGCAUAAUAAUUAGUUUUUUAAUUGAAAGCUGGUAUGAAUGGUUGGACGAGAAAAUGACUGUCUCAAUUUAAUUUAAUUAGAAUUUUAUCUUUAAGUAAAAAAGCUUAAAUAAUUUUAAAAGACGAGAAGACCCUAUAGAGUUUUAUAUUUUAUGUUUAUUGUAAGUUUAAAGGAUUUAAUAUUUAUUUAAAUAUAAAGUAUUUUGUUGGGGUGACAAAAAAAUUUAAAUAACUUUUUUUAUAUUGUUUCACUGAUUUAUGAGUAAG
RNAcentral lists this ribosomal RNA (332 nucleotides) under Omorgus tatei. RNAcentral's name for it is "partial 16S ribosomal RNA". The record is from RNAcentral. Lineage: Eukaryota; Metazoa; Arthropoda; Insecta; Coleoptera; Trogidae.